RNAcentral lists this ribosomal RNA (1368 nucleotides) under uncultured bacterium. RNAcentral's name for it is "bacterial SSU rRNA". It matches the Rfam family "Bacterial small subunit ribosomal RNA". The record is from RNAcentral.
GAGUUUGAUCCUGGCUCAGGACGAACGCUGGCGGCGCGCCUAACACAUGCAAGUCGAACGAGCAAAGAGGAGCUUGCUUCUCUGAGCGAGUGGCGAACGGGUGAGUAACGCGUGAGGAACCUGCCUCAAAGAGGGGGACAACAGUUGGAAACGACUGCUAAUACCGCAUAAGCCCACGGGUCGGCAUCGACCAGAGGGAAAAGGAGCAAUCCGCUUUGAGAUGGCCUCGCGUCCGAUUAGCUAGUUGGUGAGGUAACGGCCCACCAAGGCGACGAUCGGUAGCCGGACUGAGAGGUUGAACGGCCACAUUGGGACUGAGACACGGCCCAGACUCCUACGGGAGGCAGCAGUGGGGAAUAUUGCACAAUGGGGGAAACCCUGAUGCAGCGACGCCGCGUGGAGGAAGAAGGUCUUCGGAUUGUAAACUCCUGUUGUUGAGGAAGAUAAUGACGGUACUCAACAAGGAAGUGACGGCUAACUACGUGCCAGCAGCCGCGGUAAAACGUAGGUCACAAGCGUUGUCCGGAAUUACUGGGUGUAAAGGGAGCGCAGGCGGGAAGACAAGUUGGAAGUGAAAUCCAUGGGCUCAACCCAUGAACUGCUUUCAAAACUGUUUUUCUUGAGUAGUGCAGAGGUAGGCGGAAUUCCCGGUGUAGCGGUGGAAUGCGUAGACAUCGGGAGGAACACCAGUGGCGAAGGCGGCCUACUGGGCACCAACUGACGCUGAGGCUCGAAAGUGUGGGUAGCAAACAGGAUUAGAUACCCUGGUAGUCCACACCGUAAACGAUGAUUACUAGGUGUUGGAGGAUUGACCCCUUCAGUGCCGCAGUUAACACAAUAAGUAAUCCACCUGGGGAGUACGACCGCAAGGUUGAAACUCAAAGGAAUUGACGGGGGCCCGCACAAGCAGUGGAGUAUGUGGUUUAAUUCGACGCAACGCGAAGAACCUUACCAAGUCUUGACAUCCUGCGACGGACAUAGAAAUAUGUCUCUCCUUCGGGACGCAGAGACAGGUGGUGCAUGGUUGUCGUCAGCUCGUGUCGUGAGAUGUUGGGUUAAGUCCCGCAACGAGCGCAACCCUUAUGGUCAGUUACUACGCAAGAGGACUCUGGCCAGACUGCCGUUGACAAAACGGAGGAAGGUGGGGAUGACGUCAAAUCAUCAUGCCCUUUAUGACUUGGGCUACACACGUACUACAAUGGCGUUAAACAAAGAGAAGCAAGACCGCGAGGUGGAGCAAAACUCAGAAACAACGUCCCAGUUCGGACUGCAGGCUGCAACUCGCCUGCACGAAGUCGGAAUUGCUAGUAAUCGUGGAUCAGCAUGCCACGGUGAAUACGUUCCCGGGCAUUGUACACAGCGCCCGUC